Molecule: long non-coding RNA, 2022 nt
Organism: Nematostella vectensis (starlet sea anemone)
Lineage: Eukaryota; Metazoa; Cnidaria; Anthozoa; Actiniaria; Edwardsiidae
Exons: 2
Source: RefSeq, a predicted model, not a curated record
CUCAGUCAAGUUAUUAUUGCAUUAUUGUUAUAAAUGUUUUAGAAUAGAGUAACAUUUUGUUUAAAUAGAGUCACAUUUCUCCAUUUCUCCGCUCCCAAUUGACUUUUUGUUUAUUUGUAUAUUUAUUCCUCUCUUCCCCCAACAUAGAUCAACACUAUUGGGUGAUAGGAUGUGAAAAAUAGUGUAAAGUUUGUGUGAAAGGAGAAAUGGUGUGAAAUUGUGUGUGAAAAAAAGGUGUGAAAGUUUUGUUAGUGUGAAUUUUUCCCCAACUAUUUCACACCAGUGUGAAAUUGGUGUGAAACUUAAAUCACUUGAUUGACUAUAGUGCGAGAUUGGUGUGAAAAAAAACAUAUUUUGUUUAUAAAACAUGUAAGGCCCCUUUAGUGUUUAUUUGACAAUAGUAACACUUUUUUAGUGAUAACUGUAUUAUAUAUGAUAACAGCUUGAUUAACAGUACGGGAGUGAGGUUACUCGUUUAUAGAAAUGUGGUGGUGUUCAUCAAGCUUAUUACCAUUCACCUAUUCACGUUCUCUUUUUUCUACUAAAAUAUGUUCGAGGUUUGACCUUACGUAAAUGGCGUUCCCUAUUAUUUACAUUUCCAAUAGAUUUCUAAGGUUUUUAGGAAUUCCUUUUUUUCCCUAGAUUUUGCCUUAGAUUUCCCAAGUUCGAUCUCUAAAGGUGUGAAGAGAAUAAUCAAACUUCCUAAAAAUUCCUAGGAUUUCCUAGCAUAAGCGAUAGACCAGAAAAUCGGAAGAAUUUGGAUUGGAAAUCUUAGGAACCCUAAGGAAGAAGAUUUGAAGCAUUCUGUAAUUUAGUAACCACUUAUUAGUAAAUUCUUACAAAAUAAUAAUAGAACAUUUUCAUCACCAGAACAGACCUCACCAAACAACAAUAAGAAACGUGAUUAUUAUGUGGUGUACUUUUUUCAGAAUUAGUACUGCAAUUGAAAAGAAGGAUUUGAAAAGGGUGAUAAUUGUUAAGAAGUUUUAGAAGUUUUAAUGCUACUUGAGAUAAUAAAAAAAAAGAAGUCCCGCUUUUUGCAGAUAGAAGACGGCUCAGCAGGGCCCGCCGUAAAACCAAAAUGUGCCGGGCCUCCUUUGCUUUAGUGGCCGAGCGGGGCUUGAGCCCAAGGCGCAAAGCCAUUACGGUCGAACGAACGCCACAUUAUUGUAGCCUCCAAAUAGAUAGCCGUUUAUGCCCGUCUUUUCUACGCGUAAUCUACCUAUUUCAAGAAUUUGAUGAGCAGAAUAUUGAUUGAAGUUAAAGGACAUAUGAAAGAGAAAGCUAAAUGUGCUCGAGUUGCAAAGCCAGGAAAGAAAGAAAUUUGAGGUACAAGGAAUGUAUCAAUAAGUAAAUCGCUAGAAUCGAAUUUUAAGCUUAAAACUUUGUAAACUGAUUCACUGACAUAAGUUCUUGAAGUACAUUAUGAUGAAGCGCCUAUAUCUUUAUGAACUGUUUCUAGAAGCACACACUUGCCUAAUUUUGCUUAAUGAAAUAUAAUCUUGCACCUAAACUUUGUCCAGAUAUUUAUUUUGAAUAAGCUUAUCUAAUGUACCUGUAGUUUUUUUUUUUUUUCAGAUAUUUUUUUUAUAUUCUGAUCACAGUAGAACCCUGCAUAUGCAGAAACUAGUUAAUCUUUUCAAGCUAUCGUGCUAAGUUCGAAUUUAAAUGGUGUCUAGGCUUCUAGGAUAUUGUACUAAUUCUACUCUAGCUGGUAUCCUUUUUUCCUAUGCUAUUUUGCUUUAACCUGAGGCACUAGGAGUGCUUGAAUUGGAAAUUUAGUCCAUUCAUUUUUUUUAAGGCUAAUUUCUUUUUAACAGUAGAACUCUUCUAAAUGGGACUCCAUAUACUUAAUAUAUUAGUUAUGCUGGCAUACAUGGGACUGAUUUUUAAAGUCCAGGAUUUCGCACAAAUAGACAAUAAUCACAGGCUGUGAGUUCUAUUGUAUGUUUGUAUUUACUACAUUAUCCUGCAAAAAAAUGUGAUGCACCUAAACUUUGAAUAAAAAGAAUCUUGAAUGUU